RNAcentral lists this long non-coding RNA (913 nucleotides) under Setaria viridis. RNAcentral describes it as "long non-coding RNA (SVIR_LNC005071)". Lineage: Eukaryota; Viridiplantae; Streptophyta; Magnoliopsida; Poales; Poaceae. The record is from RNAcentral.
CCGAACCCGAAAGAGCCAACCAAGAGAUGUAAAAAUCAGGAUAACCACCAGGUAUUACUCGGUCUUCAUGAGCCAACCAAGGGAUGUAAAACGCAGCAUAACCACCAGAAAUAUCUAACUACCAAGUCCAGAAGAGCUGAGCAAGGGAUUUGAAACUCAGGAUAACCACCAGAAACAUCAAGCUAAUCCAGCCAACGGGAAUGGAAACAUUGCUUCCACCGCUUUGUCCUCCAAGCCACACUUCUGGGUGCAACUAAUAUGUACAUCAGAAUGCAGUAAUUGAGAUCAAACAGUGCGUCUUGACAUGAAGAUCACUUUGUAGCUGAAGCCCCUGCUGACUUAUCAUCAUUGGGCAGGCCCUGCGAUAAAUAAGCAGAUCAGGAAAGGUUGUCCAAGAGGGCAAUAGGUGGAGUUACUACUUCCCACCAUUUAUCUUCAAGAACAAUACAUGUAAAAGUAUAAACACCAAGAGAACCCCACAUACCAGGUCAUUGUCAAGCAAAUUGAUAUUCAAGAACUUUGGCAGGACAGAUUUCACAUCAGAAGUUGUUGCCGACUUCUCAUUCUGCAGAUCUUGAUUGGGGUUGCUGCUACUCUCAGACACUUCAGCAUGGUGGUAAUCGUCACCAGGUAGGCCCUGCGAUGAAUAAGACAAUCAAUGAACAGAAGAAGUGAGCAAUGCACAAGAGCCUUGUCCAAAAGGGCACAAUCAGUGGAAGUUUUGCAUUAGAGCAUAUAUUUGCAAAUGGUUAGGUUACCAAAAUUUCGAGAGAGGGAGCAGAGAGCGGGAGGGAGGAAGAGUUCAAAAUACCUGGCCAUCAUGCAGGUCAUUGAUAUCUUCAGCAUCAUCAUGAAGCAUAUCUUGUGAGCUCAGCUCGUCAAGCAUAUCAACAGUCAGAUUUAUGUCAAAAUC